CAGCCAUGUCUCCAACGUCCUGCGAAGCUUAAGCAACACAGGUCUCAUAUUAACGCUGCAGAGAUUCACCAACGCAAGAGAAGUAAUAAUCCACACCGAGCUAUUGGCUGCUCAAGACAACUACCUCAUCGGGCAAGAACUCUUCGACGAACUUAUGAUUUACGCAGCUCGUUCCGAUAAUCUGCUUAAUCUCCCUGGAAUAACCGGAGGGUUCCUUGUUGAUGCAAUGGUCGAACACUUGGAAGAAAUAAACAUUUCCUGCGGAUUAAAGCCUUCGAGUGCUGAAGCAUCCGAGUUGAUUCAAGGUGUUCUUGGGGAAGUUCCAAAGUGGGCAGCAUUGGCACGGGUUGAGAUGGACGAAGUUGUCGGUAUCGAGAUGGAGAAAUGGAUGGAUCUUGAAACCCAUUUGUUUGGAGUUGGAUCAGAGAUUGCGUAUGAGAUCGUUAUGUGUUUGGUUGAAGAGUUAGCUAUGGAUCUACUUUAGUAUUUGUGUAAUUCACACUAUUAAACCAUUUGAAUCAUAUGAUCAAUGCUUAUUGUUAGAAUAGUAUCACAAAUCAACAAACCAAAUCAUAAUAAAAACAAACGAUUCAAUCUUUAUCAAUCAAAACCUAAAAACAAAUCAAAUCGUGUUCGAUUAGACAUUAAGUUUGUCUGUAACCUAGAAUAGUCCGACCACCACCACCACCGCUGACUGAUUUCCUCCUCCCUCCUCCUCCUCCUCCGCCGAGUGACUUCCUUCCACCGCCAUUAAUGGCUGAAGCUACGGCGGUGGAAAUUUAAAAGGGGUGUAAAACAAUCUCUCUCGAGCCCCUUUCACCGCCAGUGACAGCAGAGAGAAUCACACAGUAAAAGGAUUUUUAACUCUCUCAUCUCUCUUUCAGUCACUUCGUCACUAUCGUUUAGCUUUUGUCUCCUUUCACCUUUUUAACUCAACUGCGAAUAUUACCCGUUGAGUUGAGUCCCAUUUUUUGAUAAAACACUUUUUUUAUCUUCUUUUUAAAAGCUCAGUUUCUUUUUUGUAAUAAAAAAUAAAUCAGAGUGUGUUUCUUCUUCUUCUUCCACUGUACAAAUCGUCGUUUUGCUGAUUUCCAUCUGUCUCCUUUCUUUCCCCUUUCUCGUAACUUGUCGAUAUUUUGCUCUAAUGUACACUCUUCUUCUCUGCUUUUCCUAAAGAGAUUCUUCUUCUUCUUCUUCCUCCUCCUCCUCACGAGCUCCAAAGUUUCAGAAAAAAACUGACAAUCUUUUUUUUCUUUUACAGAAUCGCAAUUCAAAGAAAGUCUUUUAUCUUAAGCUGUGAGCUCAGAUUCUGUCAAGAUAUUCUUUCACCAGAGAAUGAUAGUUCUUAAGCUUGAGCUUCAGAUUCUGUCUAGAUAUUCUUUCACCAGAGAAUGAUUGUUCUUCUCCGGUGAAGUUAUUGGAAUGCGAAACGUUUAUCUGUGAGGUGUUUCCUUCUCUCUGAGCUUUUGUGUCGGUCGUUAGGGUUUGGUGGUAAUGACGGGUGAGUUACAGGAGACGGUGGCGCCGUGUGGGGCCAUAACUGAGAAACGGCCAAGCCGACUCAGCGGUUGCGUCGGCGUAUUCUUCCAGCUCUUCGAUUGGAACCGACGCUUCUCCAAAAAGAAGCUCUUUUCUCGCAAAUCUCUUCUUCCUGGUUAGUGCCUCGGUUUAUUAUCUACACGGUUGUGUCUGAAAAUGAAAAAGAGAUUCUUGUUUCGUUUUUUUUUUCUCAGGGAAACAAGCUUCUAAGAGGUUUGGUGGGAAUGAUAAACUGCUCAAAUCUAAGCUUAACCUGGUGAUUAUUUCCCCCUUUUUUAGUUAAAAGUUUAAAUCUCUAGUUUGGUUUGAGUUGUAUGUCUCUUUUGUUUUGAAGAUUGAUGAUGAGAAGAGAGGAAGUUUCCCGAACCGAGGUGAAGUUGUGGACUUUAAAAGGCAUGAGAUGAGACCUCCUAGUUUGGUAGCACGUUUGAUGGGACUUGAAUCAAUACCUUCUAAUCACAAGAAGAAGAAGAAGUCAUCACAUUUGAUGAAUCAGGACAAGGAUAAAUGCCUUUUGUCUGAGGAGGAAGAAGAAGAAGAAGAUAGUGGUUUGGAUAAGUCUAGGCCACAGAAGAUGCAGAGAACAAUAAGAGGUGUGUGCGACAGGCGUGUUAUGGUGAAGAAGUUUGGAUCAGACGCCAUGCAGAUCAAGAACGUUUUGACCCGAGUAAGGAAACAUCAUCACCAGCAUCAGAAUCUGGCUUCUCCUGUUAAAAGCCCGAGGCUUCAGAGGCGUAACUCUAGGUUGAUCAACGCUGCUGCUAGGAUUCUGGAACCGGGGAAGAGAAAUUCGAAAUACAACGCUAUUGCUUAUCCAAGUUCUUCCAGGACUAUAAGGUGUGGAAACGUUGGGAAAGAGACUGCUGUUUCACCUGAUUAUAACACUAGUGUUGCUUCUUGUAAAGCCUGUGGUAGCUUUGUUGAUGUUCAUGGUUCUAGUUCUGUACCUGAAGAGAGUGGAAAGAGCAUGGUUUGUGUUUCUGAAUCAACUCCCUUCGAGAGGAGUAAAAGAAGUGUGCAUUGGAGAAAUCAAGAACCAUCUAUGCCUGUUUCUGGUAAAGGCAGAGGCUGUAUAGAUCAAAUGGAGAGGAAGGCUCUUCACCGUGCUCGGUUUCCUCCUGUCCCUGAAUCUUACACCUUACAGAGAAGCAGAGGUUCGUCUUCACCUGCAAAUGCCAUCAACUAUAAAGACAAGGACUUUAUUGCCAUGAAUAGAGGUUCAGCUAGCAGAGCUAAAUUUGAAAACUCUGGUUUGAAUCUGCAGAGAAGGUCUCACACUAGAAUUGAGGAGUCUUGUAAUAGAUCAGGUCUGAACACUUGUGCACGGAAGAGAAGGCCAGCUUGUGAAACCGCGUUUUCUCCAUUGAAACUUGGUUCCCCUCAAAGAGAUUAUAGCCAAUGCUGCAGAGAAACUAAAGAGAGAAAAAGACCGCCACGUGUUCCAAAUCAGAUGGGUCAGAAAAGAAUACAAGUUGAUGCCGGUACUGUGGGUUUGAUUCAGCAGAAGUUGGAAGAAAUCACUUCUCAAGAAGAAGAUGCAUUGCCCAGUAAACCGGCCUCUUUGAUCCUCCAUGAGUUGCUUUCUUCACUAGCACGCGAGCAGACUUACUCCAGGGAUGUUGAUAAUCGGGUAUGUUUUAUAAUACUCUGCAAGAAUGUUUUAGUAUUUUUUUUUUCAUUUUCUAUUCAUUCUUCUUUCUUAACUCUUGCAGAAGAAAGGCAAAACAGAGAUGUGGAGUUCCAUUGGAAAUGCAAACAGUGACUACACAAGCCCUGGUUCUGUACUGGAUGCAUCUUUCUCUAACGAGAGUUGCUUUUCCAAUAGCUUUGACAAUAUCUCAGGUUACAUAAAGAUCUAUUCAGACAGUAAUUUAAGUUCUUGAAUCUGAAACCUGAAACUGCCGUUAUGAUUUGUGUAGUUCCAGGACAGAUGAGGAUGCCUCUAGAGCCAGUAGAGCCCGAUUGGGACGUUCUUGAAGACUCCGCGACUUUGUUCAAGAACUCAACGAGUGUUGGUAACUAUCAAGCGAUCACCAGUCUGGUCAGCCAUGUCUCCAACGUCCUGCGAAGCUUAAGCAACACAGGUCUCAUAUUAACGCUGCAGAGAUUCACCAACGCAAGAGAAGUAAUAAUCCACACCGAGCUAUUGGCUGCUCAAGACAACUACCUCAUCGGGCAAGAACUCUUCGACGAACUUAUGAUUUACGCAGCUCGUUCCGAUAAUCUGCUUAAUCUCCCUGGAAUAACCGGAGGGUUCCUUGUUGAUGCAAUGGUCGAACACUUGGAAGA
This 3828-nucleotide long non-coding RNA is filed under the name Brassica napus (rape). RNAcentral describes it as "long non-coding RNA (BNAP_LNC010957)". Lineage: Eukaryota; Viridiplantae; Streptophyta; Magnoliopsida; Brassicales; Brassicaceae. The record is from RNAcentral.